This 264-nucleotide ribosomal RNA is filed under the name uncultured Oscillospiraceae bacterium. Its description in RNAcentral is "partial 16S ribosomal RNA". It matches the Rfam family "Bacterial small subunit ribosomal RNA", at positions 67 to 339 of the family's 1533-position model. Lineage: Bacteria; Bacillati; Bacillota; Clostridia; Eubacteriales; Oscillospiraceae. The record is from RNAcentral.
CUUGCUCUUUAAAGCUUAGUGGCGGACGGGUGAGUAACGCGUGAGCAACCUGCCUCUCAGAGGGGGAUAACGUUUUGAAAAGAACGCUAAUACCGCAUAACAUAUCGGAACCGCAUGAUUCUGAUAUCAAAGGAGCAAUCCGCUGAGAGAUGGGCUCGCGUCCGAUUAGUUAGUUGGUGAGGUAACGGCUCACCAAGACUACGAUCGGUAGCCGGACUGAGAGGUUGAUCGGCCACAUUGGGACUGAGACACGGCCCAGACUCC